GGUAGUGUAGUUAAUAGCUGCAUUAUUUGACGUUAGCGACAGAAGAAGCACCGGCUAACUCCGUGCCAGCAGCCGCGGUAAUACGGAGGGUGCGAGCGUUAAUCGGAAUUACUGGGCGUAAAGCGCAUGCAGGUGGUUUGUUAAGUUCAGAUGUGAAAGACCCGGGGCGUCAACCUCGGAAUAGCAUUUGAAACUGGCAGACUAGAGUACUGUAGAGGGGGGUAGGAAUUUCAGGUGUAGCGGUGAAAUGCGUAGAGAUCUGAAGGAAUACCGGUGGCGAAGGCGGCCCCCUCGGACAGAUACUGACACUCAGAUGCGAAAGCGUGGGGAGCAAACAGGAUUAGAUACCCUGGUAG
RNAcentral lists this ribosomal RNA (356 nucleotides) under uncultured bacterium. RNAcentral describes it as "bacterial SSU rRNA". It matches the Rfam family "Bacterial small subunit ribosomal RNA", at positions 443 to 793 of the family's 1533-position model. The record is from RNAcentral.